CAGUCGCCGCGGUAAUACGUAGGGUGCAAGCGUUAAUCGGAAUUACUGGGCGUAAAGCGUGCGCAGGCGGUUGUGUAAGACAGGUGUGAAAUCCCCGGGCUUAACCUGGGAAUUGCAUUUGUGACUGCACGACUAGAGUGUGUCAGAGGGGGGUGGAAUUCCACGUGUAGCAGUGAAAUGCGUAGAUAUGUGGAGGAACACCAAUGGCGAAGGCAGCCUCCUGGGAUAACACUGACGCUCAUGCACGAAAGCGUGGGGAGCAAACAGGAUUAGAUACCCGUGUAGUCCCUGUCUCUUAUAA
Molecule: ribosomal RNA, 301 nt
Filed under: uncultured bacterium
Lineage: Bacteria
Description: partial 16S ribosomal RNA
Rfam family: Bacterial small subunit ribosomal RNA
Source: RNAcentral